UAGCAUAUCAAUAAGCGGAGGAAAAGAAACCAACAGGGAUUGCCCUAGUAACGGCGAGUGAAGCGGCAACAGCUCAAAUUUGAAAUCUGGCUCUUUUAGAGUCCGAGUUGUAAUUUGCAGAGGGCGCUUUGGCUUUGGCAGCGGUCCAAGUUCCUUGGAACAGGACGUCACAGAGGGUGAGAAUCCCGUACGUGGUCGCUGGCUAUUGCCGUGUAAAGCCCCUUCGACGAGUCGAGUUGUUUGGGAAUGCAGCUCUAAAUGGGAGGUACAUUUCUUCUAAAGCUAAAUAUUGGCCAGAGACCGAUAGCGCACAAGUAGAGUGAUCGAAAGAUGAAAAGCACUUUGGAAAGAGAGUCAAACAGCACGUGAAAUUGUUGAAAGGGAAGCGCUUGCAGCCAGACUUGCUUGCAGUUGCUCAUCCGGGCUUUUGCCCGGUGCACUCUUCUGUAGGCAGGCCAGCAUCAGUUUGGGCGGUAGGAUAAAGGUCUCUGUCACGUACCUCUCUUCGGGGAGGCCUUAUAGGGGAGACGACAUACUACCAGCCUGGACUGAGGUCCGCGCAUCUGCUAGGAUGCUGGCGUAAUGGCUGUAAGCGGCCCGUCUUGAAACACGGACCAAGGAGUCUAACAUCUAUGCGAGUGUUUGGGUGUCAGCCCGAGCGCGGAAUGAAAGUGAACGGAGGUGGGAACCCGCAAGGGUGCACCAUCGACCGAUCCUGAUGUCUUCGGAAGGAUUUGAGUAAGAGCAUGGCUGUUGGGACCCGAAAGAUGGUGAACUAUGCUUGAAUAGGGUGAAGCCAGAGGAAACUCUGGUGGAGGCUCGCAGCGGUUCUGACGUGCAAAUCGAUCGUCAAAUUUGGGCAUAGGGGCGAAAGACUAAUCGAACUAUCUAGUAGCUGGUUCCUGCCGAAGUUUCCCUCAGGAUAGCAGUAACGUAUUCAGUUUUAUGAGGUAAAGCGAAUGAUUAGAGGCCUGGGGGUUGAAACAACCUUCACCUAUUCUCAAACUUUAAAUAUGUAAGAAGUCCUUGUUACUUAAUUGAACGUGGACAGUUGAAUGAAACGUUAUUAGUGGGCCAUUUUUGGUAAGCAGAACUGGCGAUGCGGGAUGAACCGAACGAGGGGUUAAAGUGCCAGAAUAUACGCUCAUCAGACACCACAAAAGGUGUUGGUUCAUCUAGACAGCAGGACGGUGGCCAUGGAAGUCGGAAUCCGCUAAGGAGUGUGUAACAACUCACCUGCCGAAUGAACUAGCCCUGAAAAUGGAUGGCGCUCAAGCGUGUUACUUAUACCCCUCCGCUGGGGCAAAAUUUACGCCCCAGCGAGUAGGCAGGCGUGGAGGUCCGUGACGAAGCCUUGGGGGUGACCCC
Molecule: ribosomal RNA, 1368 nt
Filed under: Alternaria eureka
Lineage: Eukaryota; Fungi; Ascomycota; Dothideomycetes; Pleosporales; Pleosporaceae
Description: eukaryotic LSU rRNA
Rfam family: Eukaryotic large subunit ribosomal RNA
Source: RNAcentral